This 308-nucleotide ribosomal RNA is filed under the name uncultured Neptunomonas sp. Its description in RNAcentral is "bacterial SSU rRNA". It matches the Rfam family "Bacterial small subunit ribosomal RNA", at positions 30 to 334 of the family's 1533-position model. Lineage: Bacteria; Pseudomonadati; Pseudomonadota; Gammaproteobacteria; Oceanospirillales; Oceanospirillaceae. The record is from RNAcentral.
AUUGAACGCUGGCGGCAGGCUUAACACAUGCAAGUCGAGCGGUAGCAUUUCUAGCUUGCUAGAAGAUGACGAGCGGCGGACGGGUGAGUAACGCGUAGGAAUCUGCCGAGUAGUGGGGGAUAGCCCAGAGAAAUUUGGAUUAAUACCGCAUACGCCCUACGGGGGAAAGGAGGGGAUCUUCGGACCUUUCGCUAUUCGAUGAGCCUGCGUGAGAUUAGCUUGUUGGUGAGGUAAAGGCUCACCAAGGCGACGAUCUCUAGCUGGUCUGAGAGGAUGAUCAGCCACACUGGGACUGAGACACGGCCCAG